GUUGUUGCAGUUAAAAAGCUCGUAGUUGGAUUUCUACCAUAUUUUGCCUAUUCCGGAUCAGAUAAUCUUUCGGUAAUGGAGCUGAAGUGGGUAUCCUAUCAUGAAGUAGCGGCCCCGUGUCGUUGCUGAGUGGUUCUUUUACUUUGAAAAAAUUAGAGUGUUUAAAGCAGGCUUGCGCAUGAAUACAUUAGCAUGGAAUAAUAACAUAGGACUUUGGUCUCUAUUUUGUUGGUUUCUAGGACUAAAGUAAUGAUUGAUAGGGAUAGUUGGGGGUGCUAGUAUUGAGCGGCCAGAGGUGAAAUUCUUAGAUUCGCUCAUGACUAACUUAUGCGAAAGCAUUCACCAAGGAUGUCUUCUUUAAUCAAGAACGAAAGUUGGGGGAUCGAAGACGAUCAGAUACCGUCGUAGUCUCAACCAUAAACUAUACCGACUAAGGAUGAGUGAUCGUUGCAUUUUCGACUUCAUUCGCACUUUAUGAGAAAUCAAAGUCUUUGGGUUCCGGGGGGAGUAUGGUCGCAAGGCUGAAACUUAAAGGAAUUGACGGAAGGGCACCACCAGGGAUGGAGCCUGCGGCUUAAUUUGACUCAACACGGGGAAACUUACCAGGUCCAGACGUAGUGAGGAUUGACAGAUUGAAGAUCUUUCU
RNAcentral lists this ribosomal RNA (646 nucleotides) under uncultured marine eukaryote. RNAcentral describes it as "SSU rRNA". It matches the Rfam family "Eukaryotic small subunit ribosomal RNA", at positions 609 to 1262 of the family's 1831-position model. The record is from RNAcentral.